Molecule: ribosomal RNA, 301 nt
Filed under: uncultured bacterium
Lineage: Bacteria
Description: partial 16S ribosomal RNA
Rfam family: Bacterial small subunit ribosomal RNA
Source: RNAcentral
CAGUAGCCGCGGUAAUACGUAGGGUGCGAGCGUUAAUCGGAAUUACUGGGCUUAAAGCGUGCGCAGGCGGCUUUGUAAGACAGGCGUGAAAUCCCCGGGCUCAACCUGGGAAUGGCGCUUGUGACUGCAAAGCUAGAGUGCGGCAGAGGGGGAUGGAAUUCCGCGUGUAGCAGUGAAAUGCGUAGAUAUGCGGAGGAACACCGACGGCGAAGGCAAUCCCCUGGGCCUGCACUGACGCUCAUGCACGAAAGCGUGGGGAGCAAACAGGAUUAGAUACCCCCGUAGUCCCUGUCUCUUAUAC